AUGUGUGCUGCACUGCGCGAGACGAGGAGGGAGGGCAUCGGAACUCGACAAAGUCUCACCUCCCACCCUGAUAUUUUGAUCUUUUUUUAUUCAGUAAAUAUAUUUGUUUGACAGGGAAGCUGUGCGCAAACAGGAAUAAAUUUAUUUUAUAUAUAUUUUGUAACAGAUUUGGCUGAAACAACUUCCGGAAGAAAAUGGGGGGAGCAGAAAGUUCAGUUGAGACAGAGGGAGAACUGGAAAGAAGAGCGGUGGAACUGGACAAAAGGGAGGUGGCACUGGAUAAAAAGGAGCUGGAACUGGAAAAAAGGGCAGUGGAAGAGAUGAGGGCUGAAGCAAUGAAUCCUGUGCAACACAUCCAAGAAUCAGAGACGCCUAAAGAUCGCGGUGGCUGCUUCAUUAAAAUGGACCAAGCUAACAUCAACUGUAACGACUGUCAGGUUUGCGGUCCAGUUUCCGGUUCCCCUCUAGAAUCCGCUGAUCUUGGACAAUUCUGUUGCUGCUGACCAUUUGGACUGUUACUGGUGCUGGAGUUUGAAUGUGAACACCUGCCUGAUUCUGAUCAUGAGUUGGGAUUUCCCUGUUGGCUCUGUUUGCCCCUCGCCUGACCAUCCUGUCUGUCUGACAUUGAUUCUCAUCUCACGAUUCAGAUUUGAUUGCCUGCCUGCCUGCAUGACCAUUCUCCUCUCUACUGUUCAGGACUGAUUUAGAGCUGUGCUGCUCUUCAUCAAUUCACAUCAAGUUACAGUACAAUGUGAAAUUGUAACUGAACAUAAGAGGGUGCUAAAAGGGUGGCACCACAACUUUAAGAGUGGUGGAGCAAAAUUUUAUGAUUUUGGGGUGUAUAGUGGGGAUUAUUAUUUUGUGAUUCUUAACGCUUUACAACAAAGUCACCUCAAACGACAAAAAACUCCUGUACGCUAAUUACAAAACAAAGUUCCUCAGGGCUUUUAAUCCAAAGGGUUAAAACUCUAUGUUUCUUUAUAGAGAAUUUAUUUUUACCCAAAACGGGGUGAUGUGAGCAUAAUGGAGCGCUAAAAACUCUCAUGUAGUAUGUGUUUCAUUCAUACAGGUAGCCGGAGGCGCCCUCACACAAGAAAGUCCAAGACUCAGAAAUAAUAAUACUUUGUGAGAUUACAAGAAAUCCAUUAUAUGGAUAAAGGCAUCCAGCUUUCACAGCUCAAUAUAAAGCAGAUAGAAUCGUUUUGACUGAUGAAACAACAGGAAAUAAACACAUGAUUUUGACAAUGUAUGGUUUAUGUGCUUUUCAAGCCAUCUGGGGUAUUUUCAUAAGAAUCUUAAUUUUUAAUGUUAUAUUUAUAAAGCAAUGCUAAUCGACAUAGCCUAUCACAGUAUAGAACACUAUAAAAUAAUAAUGUUCUCUAAUUUCUUGCUCCAUCCAUGCAAUAAAUGCACAUCUAGUUAGCCAUACUGACACACAAUUAAGCGGCAAAGUGCUGUUCAGCCCUUUAUUGCGUGUGCUGGGCACUGCCCCACUAGUUUGAAAAGUGCCAGGUCAAAAGCCAGCUCGCCCCCCGUUGCUCCGGCAGCCCCAAAACACAUUUUACAGUACUGAAAUGUAUCAUCUUUUGUAAUCACACAAUUCAUUUUUCAACCACGGAAUAACAAAAACUGCUUGACACCAAAUGUUACAAUUACAUUAGGUAAGAUAUCCAUUUGCAAUAGCAUGUUAACUGACUAGAAAAAAAUGAAUUUGAGAGAGGAGUACUAUAUAGCUUAAUGUUGAGUGCAUUAUUGAAUAUAUAGGCCUACAAUAUAUUAUAUGGAUGCAUUUUUACUUAACCAUUGAUGGCUUAUUUUGAUUUAAUGCUGUCAGCUUCAGUCUAGCAAGAUGUUCCACUCAAUGUGUAGCUAAACAUUGACUAUUGGCAGUGGCCUGCAUCCACCAGAUCACGAAGGGAGCAUGCAUUACUUCAGGAACUACAGUGGACUUCAUAUAGCAUGAAUUGCUGCCAACACUCAACUGGACAACAGCCAAAAAUCUGUCAUCACCAACACCUAAAGCAUAGCAAGUUAGACUGCAAACCUCUAUGAUCACUGCCAUAUUGAUUUUUGCCUGCCUCAUAAAUCAAUAUGGCAAUAUCCUUACAGAUACUUAAGGGGAUAGUUCACCAAAAAAUGAAAAUUCUGUCAUCAUUUACUCACCCUCAUGUUGUUCCAAACCUGUACAAGUUUCUUCUGUUGAACACAAAAGAAGAUAUUUUUGAAGAAUGUUGGUAACCAGACAGUUGCCAUUGACUUCAUUUUUCAUUACUUCUAACAAAGAACGGUCUCUGCUUCUAAUAAACCAGACGACUACUACUACUACUA
Molecule: long non-coding RNA, 2328 nt
Organism: Ctenopharyngodon idella (grass carp)
Lineage: Eukaryota; Metazoa; Chordata; Actinopteri; Cypriniformes; Xenocyprididae
Exons: 4
Source: RefSeq, a predicted model, not a curated record